CUUCUUGUUUGGAUGUUAUGUUUAUUUAUAUGGAUUUUAUUUUGGUGAAUAAUCUUUUAUUGAUUUUCAACAAAUAAAAGUAAAAGAAACAGAAUGAGACUUGCAGGUCCCCAGUGUGAUGAGCAUUUCGGUCACGCUGGAGCCAAUAAGAGAUUCGGUACAGCGUUAAAUAGGACGCACAGGUCCAUUAGUGGAUCAUCACAAACAUAAGUCUAGCAAUUACAUUGACAAACUUUGUGCCCGUUUCACCUCCGCAUAAUGGACGGUUCUUCUCCCCACUCCAUCUCUAAGUCCCUUCCUGUACCAGUAUCUUCUUAAGACUGGGUCACAUAUUAAAUGUCUUUAAAAGGUGAGAUUAUUCACAGUGUGUAGAAGAUUGAGACACCUACCAACUCAUGCUGGGUAGAGCAGAAUUUGAUUACCAUAUGGAUUCUAUGGUAGCGUCUAUGCGUAUCACAGAAUUCACAGUAAAAAUUUUUUUUUGUUAUUUCGCUUUUGAAAGUGUUCUGGGAAUGCAAUGAUUUGGAGAGUACUCCUGCUCAUAGUUUUGGAAUUCCAUUGAUUGCAUUUGGGCCCCCCAAAU
Molecule: non-coding RNA, 583 nt
Organism: Pelobates cultripes (western spadefoot toad)
Lineage: Eukaryota; Metazoa; Chordata; Amphibia; Anura; Pelobatidae
Source: the annotation of a GenBank genome assembly